Molecule: ribosomal RNA, 1443 nt
Filed under: metagenome
Description: bacterial SSU rRNA
Rfam family: Bacterial small subunit ribosomal RNA
Source: RNAcentral
AGAGUUUGAUCCUGGCUCAGGAUGAACGCUGGCGGCGUGCUUAACACAUGCAAGUCGAACGAUCCUUCGGGAUAGUGGCGGACGGGUGACUAACGCGUGGGAAUCUGCCCUUAGGAGGGGGAUAACGGCUGGAAACGGCCGCUAAUACCCCAUAUGCCGAGAGGUGAAACGAAUUUCGCCUGAGGAUGAGCCCGCGUCUGAUUAGCUAGUUGGUGGGGUAAAGGCCUACCAAGGCGACGAUCAGUAGCUGGUCUGAGAGGAUGAUCAGCCACACUGGGACUGAGACACGGCCCAGACUCCUACGGGAGGCAGCAGUGGGGAAUUUUCCGCAAUGGGCGAAAGCCUGACGGAGCAACGCCGCGUGAGGGAUGAAGGCCUCUGGGCUGUAAACCUCUUUUCUCAAGGAAGAAGAACUGACGGUACUUGAGGAAUAAGCCACGGCUAAUUCCGUGCCAGCAGCCGCGGUAAUACGGGAGUGGCAAGCGUUAUCCGGAAUUAUUGGGCGUAAAGCGUCCGCAGGCGGCCUUGUAAGUCUGUUGUUAAAGCGUGGAGCUCAACUCCAUUUAAGCAAUGGAAACUACAAGGCUGGAGUGUGGUAGGGGCAGAGGGAAUUCCCGGUGUAGCGGUGAAAUGCGUAGAUAUCGGGAAGAACACCAGUGGCGAAGGCGCUCUGCUGGGCCAUAACUGACGCUCAUGGACGAAAGCCAGGGGAGCGAAAGGGAUUAGAUACCCCUGUAGUCCUGGCCGUAAACGAUGAACACUAGGUGUCGGGGGAAUCGACCCUCUCGGUGUCGUAGCCAACGCGUUAAGUGUUCCGCCUGGGGAGUACGCACGCAAGUGUGAAACUCAAAGGAAUUGACGGGGGCCCGCACAAGCGGUGGAGUAUGUGGUUUAAUUCGAUGCAACGCGAAGAACCUUACCAGGGUUUGACAUCCUGCGAAUCCCUUGGAAACGAGGGAGUGCCUUCGGGAGCGCAGUGACAGGUGGUGCAUGGCUGUCGUCAGCUCGUGUCGUGAGAUGUUGGGUUAAGUCCCGCAACGAGCGCAACCCACGUCUUUAGUUGCCAGCAUUCAGUUGGGCACUCUAGAGAGACCGCCGGUGAUAAACCGGAGGAAGGUGUGGAUGACGUCAAGUCAUCAUGCCCCUUACAUCCUGGGCUACACACGUACUACAAUGCUACGGACAAAGGGCAGCAAGCUCGCGAGAGUUAGCAAAUCCCAUAAACCGUGGCUCAGUUCAGAUCGUAGGCUGCAACUCGCCUACGUGAAGGAGGAAUCGCUAAUAAUCGCAGGUCAGCAUACUGCGGUGAAUACGUUCCCGGGCCUUGUACACACCGCCCGUCACACCAUGGAAGUUGGCCAUGCCCGAAGUCGUUACUCCAACCCUUGUGGAGGAGGACGCCGAAGGUGGGGCUGAUGACUGGGGUGAAGUCGUAACAAGGUA